RNAcentral lists this ribosomal RNA (711 nucleotides) under Triticum aestivum (bread wheat). Its description in RNAcentral is "partial small subunit ribosomal RNA". The record is from RNAcentral. Lineage: Eukaryota; Viridiplantae; Streptophyta; Magnoliopsida; Poales; Poaceae.
AUGGAGAUAAGCUUGGAUUUCUCUUGGGAGACGCCUAGCUUCUUCGAGCUCUGCGACGCAGAUAGCAUGCACCUGCCAGCUGAGGACUCUCUGUCCUGUCUGUACGAGCACGGCGACUCAACUAGCUCGCCGGACGGCGCCAACUCGGGGCUGACGAGGAGGUGGGCUGGCAGGAACAUGCUCAACGAGAGGGACCGGCGCAGGAGGCUCAACGAGAAGCUCUACGCCAUUCGCGGCGUCGUUCCAAACAUCACCAAGAUGAACAAGGCGUCCAUCAUCCAGGACGCCAUCGCCUACAUCGAGGAGCUGCAGGAGCAGGAGCGCCAGAUUCUCGCCGCCCCUGGAACAGAUGGCUGCGCCGCCGUGGUCCAGGCGGACUCGACCGUGGACGAUGGCGUCGGCUCCCCGCCACGGACUACCUCCGCCUCCUCCAUCUGUUCCCCUUCCCCGCAUCCGGUCCAAAUCCUCGAGCUGGAGGUGAUGCAGGUGGCAGAGGAUCUGGCAGUGGUUAACGUGAGACAUAGAAAAGCGCAGGAGGCCAUGGCGAAGGUGUAUGGGGUGCUCGAGUCGCUCUGUCUCAAUGUCAUCACGGCAAGUGUGACCGUCGUGUCCGACAACAUUGUCCACAACAUGUUCAUCGAGACGGAUGGAAUGGAUUGUGCUCAAACGAUCAAGGAGAUGGUAAAGUCUCACUCAGUCAUCUCAAUGUGA